AGUUUGUAUUGGUUUGAGCGAACGUGAGCAGGUACAAAAUGGUAGCGGACAAGUGGAUACCGAGCGUACAGUACAAUUCGUAAGCUUGAUUCGUUUAAUGGUAAGGAAAGAAAAUAAAGUGCAAAGAGGAUUAAGAAAGAUAGGAAGAAAUGAAUAGAAACAUUUAUAUUACAAUAUUUAUAUGGAAUAAAUACGUCACAAUGCAAAAAAAUAUCUGUUUCGUAAAAUGUAGCUUUUAAAAGAAAUGUCCAUCUUAUGUAAAAUCGGCAAAACGUAAUCACGAAACAUUUAACAAACAAAUAGAAUUUGAAUUUACUGAGA
Molecule: long non-coding RNA, 321 nt
Organism: Melitaea cinxia (Glanville fritillary)
Lineage: Eukaryota; Metazoa; Arthropoda; Insecta; Lepidoptera; Nymphalidae
Exons: 2
Source: RefSeq, a predicted model, not a curated record